This 883-nucleotide long non-coding RNA is filed under the name Nicotiana tabacum (common tobacco). Its description in RNAcentral is "long non-coding RNA (NTAB_LNC000782)". The record is from RNAcentral. Lineage: Eukaryota; Viridiplantae; Streptophyta; Magnoliopsida; Solanales; Solanaceae.
AUCCUUACAAAGAUUUGCUUCUCGAGUUAGGGGAAAUGUGGAGUCAUGACUUAAUAAUUCCCUGUGCUACCUCACUCUUUAAUAAAUUGAGGUCCAAGUUUAUUGGUAAACUUCCAUUGAAGAUUGGAAGAGAGAGAGAGAGAGGGAAGAACUGAGGAAAGUCCGAAAACUUCCUUAACUCGUUAUUUUGCUUCUAUUCCCUCCCUUCCUUUAGCUAUCAACCACUGAAGUUGCAACAAUUUGAUGGGAAGGGCAACCCAAGAUAACACACGAUGAUCUCCUUUUCUCAUCCUAAGUUUUAACUUGCUUUAUAGAGACUCCCAACAUAGAUAUGAACGAAAGAACUACAACGUUAUGAUUGUUCCAUCAUCGACAGCUCUGUGUAUAAAGUACUUUGCUAUACAAUUGAGGUGUCACUGCAAGUUUCUACAAGCUGGCACUAGACCAAGUUCUCAGGAUGACUUGGAUUUUGUAAGAGAUAUAGGGUUAUGAAACCUGAAAUUGAAUAUUGCAGCUUUCUUUUUGUACCAUUUGUAGUUUCACUUUCACAUGGAUAUAAUAAAUGUCAUUGUAUUGCUUCUGAUAGACUGCUUUGUAUAUGCUUUGCAACAUUCUUUGUUCAUUCAAUUUUAAGGUCUCCAAUUUGCUUUAGUAACAAUUAAUCUUGCGAAUUUCUCAUCUAUGGCAUUUGGCUGGUAACAAGUACCAGUAUAUAUUUUCUUCCAAUUAAGCUACUCAUGCUGCAAAUACUUCAAGCACAUCCGCAAAACGUGCUUAUAAGUAAAAAGAACGAUUGAAUAUCAUCCCAUAAUUGCGUUAUACAAUUCAAAGUAUCCAGCUAUUAAAGAGUAAAAAGGAAUUAACCAAAAGAAAAAAAAAAAAA